CUUAUCCUGUAGCCGGUAAAGUUGGGUUUACAAGACUCAAGCGGAUUUGAUUCCGCGGUCUUCACAACACCACUCAUCCUGGUUCUUAUCUUGUACUUGUCGCUGGUUUUGCCUGGCAUUAUAGGAAAGUGCGACAACUAAAGCGAACUAUAAGAAAAUCGGAAGAGCAGGCUGAUUUUCAAAGGAGCGAUGAUCAAAGCCAAAUUGAACUCAUCUUCAUGGAUUAGAUAUUGUUGAAUG
Physella acuta is the source of this 240-nucleotide long non-coding RNA. RefSeq lists it as uncharacterized. The record is from RefSeq and is a predicted model, not a curated record. NCBI's taxonomy places the organism in Eukaryota, Metazoa, Mollusca, Gastropoda, Physidae.